AGAGUUUGAUCAUGGCUCAGAUUGAACGCUGGCGGCAGGCCUAACACAUGCAAGUCGAGCGGAAACGAGUUAUCUGAACCUUCGGGGAACGAUAACGGCGUCGAGCGGCGGACGGGUGAGUAAUGCCUAGGAAAUUGCCCUGAUGUGGGGGAUAACCAUUGGAAACGAUGGCUAAUACCGCAUAAUACCUACGGGUCAAAGAGGGGGACCUUCGGGCCUCUCGCGUCAGGAUGUGCCUAGGUGGGAUUAGCUAGUUGGUGAGGUAAUGGCUCACCAAGGCGACGAUCCCUAGCUGGUCUGAGAGGAUGAUCAGCCACACUGGAACUGAGACACGGUCCAGACUCCUACGGGAGGCAGCAGUGGGGAAUAUUGCACAAUGGGCGCAAGCCUGAUGCGGCCAUGCCGCGUGUGUGAAGAAGGCCUUCGGGUUGUAAAGCACUUUCAGUCGUGAGGAAGGUAGUGUAGUUAAUAGCUGCAUUAUUUGACGUUAGCGACAGAAGAAGCACCGGCUAACUCCGUGCCAGCAGCCGCGGUAAU
This 537-nucleotide ribosomal RNA is filed under the name uncultured bacterium. RNAcentral's name for it is "bacterial SSU rRNA". It matches the Rfam family "Bacterial small subunit ribosomal RNA", at positions 8 to 524 of the family's 1533-position model. The record is from RNAcentral.